Molecule: ribosomal RNA, 310 nt
Filed under: uncultured bacterium
Lineage: Bacteria
Description: partial 16S ribosomal RNA
Rfam family: Bacterial small subunit ribosomal RNA
Source: RNAcentral
AGGAUCGACUAACUCCGUGCCAGCAGCCGCGGUAAUAYGGAGGAUGCGAGCGUUAUCCGGAUUUAUUGGGUNUAAAGGGUGCGCAGGCGGCUCUNUUAAGUCGGCGGUGAAAUUUKGCAGCUCAACYGUAVAAGUGCCUUCGAUACYGGCUUCCUUGAGUGUGGAYGAAGUAGGCGGAAUGUGUGGUGUAGCGGUGAAAUGCUUAGAUAUCACGCGGAACUCCGAUUGCGCAGGCAGCUUACUAAACCAUUACUGACGSUCAUGCAMGAAGGCGUGGGGAUCAAACAGGAUUAGAUACCCUGGUAGUCCC